GCGAGGCUGUUUAGAUACUGUAGAAUUAUGCCCAUGAAACACAGAAAUGACUUGCCAUGGAAGGCAAGUCAAGGAGAACCGCGCCACGGACGGCGCGUUUCGACGGUUUCGUCAAGCAAAGUGAGCCUAAAAAGCAUAAUUCGUACAGUAUCUUGACAGCGUAGC
RNAcentral lists this non-coding RNA (165 nucleotides) under uncultured Agathobacter sp. Lineage: Bacteria; Bacillati; Bacillota; Clostridia; Lachnospirales; Lachnospiraceae. The record is from RNAcentral.